This is a long non-coding RNA of Felis catus (domestic cat), 1707 nucleotides long. RefSeq lists it as uncharacterized. The record is from RefSeq and is a predicted model, not a curated record. NCBI's taxonomy places the organism in Eukaryota, Metazoa, Chordata, Mammalia, Carnivora, Felidae. The transcript has 3 exons.
CGGAGGAUGAAGCCUCACAUUUUAAUACCACCCUGCACUAAAUAAAAACCCAGCCCAAGAACAUUUGCAAGAACUGUUGUAGAAUCUCAGAAUCUGGAAUGCAGUGCUCUCCCCAGUGUUGCAUCGUCUGGACCAAGUUCCUGCUAAAGCCUUGCCCUGCCUCUGCCGAGGAAGCUUCGGAGCCAGCUAGUUCCAUUUGAGAUGUGUGCUCUGCUGGAGAGCCCUCCACAGGUGCCUUGGGUUGACCCUCUGCUAAUGUGCAGAGGGCACGCGGGGCCUCUAAGCAAGUGUUCAGAUGCCCAGCCGGUGGGGAUGAGGGUACGGGAAGGUGGGAGAAGAGACGGAAGAUGGAGAGGCGGAGCAGUGGAGGAGGCCAGAGAGGAUGGCAAGGCUAGGAGGUAAGGGACAGGGCUAGGGGUCACAGUGGGAAGAUGCCAUCUGAAAUGUGAAUGUAAGUGGGGGUGCUCACUGGCAGGGUCCGGCUGCUGUGAAGGGUGUUGAUGGCUGCCUGGGCCUCAGCGUGGGUCUGGAACUUCACAAAGGCGCAGCCUACAGGAUUCAAGAGCAAUGAGGAAAAGGGCUUCGGUUUUUGCAUCUCGACAGUGGGCUGGAUCACAUCCCCUCCGGCCACACUGCCUCCAGUCCCCACCGUGACUGGGAACCCUUUGGAAUUCUCAGAUUUUCUUCCUCCAGAGAGGCUGUCCCUCAGCUUCUCCAAGCCUCGGGGCCUGCAGGUUGGCGGGGAAUGACUGAAUCCAAAGUCUAAAGGUCCAGAACCUACCUCCUCGGCUCUCGCUGUCGGCUGGCUUGACCUGGAUCGGCCUGUUCAUCUAAAAGGGGAGAAGAGAAGGCAACUGCUGGGGACCCGCUCGGAGCUCCCCCCCACACCCCCAAGAGCCCUCCCCAGGCCGGAACCUGCAGAGAGGCUAGAGGGAGUAAACCCCAGGCCCUAAAUUGCUGAUGGGAAGAAAGGGAUGGGCCUAAUCUUGUUUAGGAUUAGGACCUGAGCGGAUUAGAGGCAGUGGAAGGCGAGGAUGUAGAGGAGGCUGCUCCUGGGGCUGGCUCCAGGCUCCGGCGAGGCCUCAGGUGACACGGCCAGGGAUAAGUGAUGCUCUCUUUGGGGGGAGAAUGGAACUGUCCAUAGGACCUGGGUUCGGAGUCAGAGCCCAACCAAAGGGCUAUUCGGCAAGAGCUCCCUCAAUUUUACAAAGUAGGAGCCACAGAGGCCACUCCAUCAAGCAGCCCCGAAGAAGACAAGACCAAGGGACACCCCACAGAUGCCCGACUUCCUUCUGACCCCUAGAGAUCAAAUCCUUGGUGUCUCCCGGCUGAGAGGGCUCUGAAGGAGGAACCGCUGUCCCGUGCUUGUGUGAGACCCUCCCCGUACUCUGAAGUCCUCCAGAGCUCUGCCUUCUCACUCCCUUUGUUCAGUCUCCCGUGGAAAUGCAGACACCCCCCAGUUCCACUCUCCAUGUUCUUGUCUGGUGAGAAGACUUAGCAAUGACUCCUGCAGGUUGACUUCCUUAACUAGGGUGGGAAGCACCUUCGGAACUGGAGGGAGGGGAAGGACUCAGUGUUUCACAUCUGAAAAUACUUUGCUAUUGCGGACUAGGACCAUCGGGGCCACACCUGGUAACCCCACCCCGCUCAUCGGAUGGUGGGGCAGUCCUAGCUCCAGCGACCAAAAAUAAAUAUUAACAAAAGAAA